AGCGAACGCUGGCGGCAGGCCUAACACAUGCAAGUCGAGCGCCCGUAGCAAUACGGGAGCGGCAGACGGGAUAGUAACACGUGGGAACGUACCCUUCAGUUCGGAACAACCCAGGGAAACUUGGGCUAAUACCGAAUACGUCCGUAAGGAGAAAGAUUUAUCGCUGAAGGAUCGGCCCGCGUCUGAUUAGCUAGUUGGUGGGGUAAUGGCCCACCAAGGCGACGAUCAGUAGCUGGUCNGAGAGGAUGAUCAGCAUCACUGGGACUGAGACACGGCCCAGACUCCUACGGGAGGCAGCA
Molecule: ribosomal RNA, 299 nt
Filed under: uncultured bacterium
Lineage: Bacteria
Description: partial 16S ribosomal RNA
Rfam family: Bacterial small subunit ribosomal RNA
Source: RNAcentral